This 337-nucleotide long non-coding RNA is filed under the name Bos taurus (domestic cattle). RNAcentral describes it as "long non-coding RNA NONBTAT000656". Lineage: Eukaryota; Metazoa; Chordata; Mammalia; Artiodactyla; Bovidae. The record is from RNAcentral.
UAUUCAUAAAACUGUAUUCUGUAUUUUAUUUUUCAAACAGCCAGUGUCCACAUUUUAAAUGCAGAAUUUGCAAAUAUAAAUUAGUCUAAUAAUUCAAUUAAAAAUAAAACAAAAACAAUUUCCUUUAGUAUCACAAUACAUAAAAUGGUAUUAUAAACUCCAAAUGGCAAGGUUUACUACAUGACAAUAAUGUCAAGAAGCUCUGAAACUCAUUAAACCUCUUAAUGAAUAGGUCAGUUUAAAGAACAUUUCUCUGUUCCAUGAUUAUGCAUGAAACAAGCUUUCACUAUAUUAUGAAGGCUCAGCAAUUUAUUCAUGGCAUAAUAUGGGGUCAAGC